CCUACGGGGUGCAGCAGUGGGGGAUAUUGGACAAUGGGGGGAACCCUGAUCCAGCGACGCCGCGUGAGUGAAGAAGUAUUUCGGUAUGUAAAGCUCUGUCAGCAGGGAAGAAAGCAAUGACGGUACCUGACCAAGAAGCCCCGGCUAACUACGUGCCAGCAGCCGCGGUAAUACGUAGGGGGCAAGCGUUAUCCGGAAUUACUGGGUGUAAAGGGAGCGUAGACGGCUUUGCAAGUCUGGAGUGAAAGGCGGGGGCCCAACCCCCGGACUGCUCUGGAAACUGUAUGGCUGGAGUGCAGGGGAGGUAAGCGGAAUUCCUAGUGUAGCGGUGAAAUGCGUAGAUAUUAGGAGGAACACCAGUGGCGAAGGCGGCUUACUGGACUGUAACUGACGUUGAGGCUCGAAAGCGUGGGGAGCAAACAGGAUUAGAUAUCCCUGUAGUC
RNAcentral lists this ribosomal RNA (443 nucleotides) under uncultured bacterium. Its description in RNAcentral is "partial 16S ribosomal RNA". It matches the Rfam family "Bacterial small subunit ribosomal RNA", at positions 338 to 795 of the family's 1533-position model. The record is from RNAcentral.